CCAAUAGCGUAUAUUAAAGUUGUUGCAGUUAAAAAGCUCGUAGUUGAAUUUCGGGAUCAAGGAAUCGGUCAUGCCUCGGUAUGUACUGGUUUUAUUGGUUCUCACCUUCUAAAGAACCAUAAUGUCAUUUAUUUGAUGUUAUGGGGAAUUAGGACUGUUACCUUGAAAAAAUUAGAGUGUUUAAAGCAAGCUUACGCUUGAAUACAUUAGCAUGGAAAAAUGAAAUAGGACAUCCGAUUCUAUUUUGUUGGUUUCUAGGAUCGAUGUAAUGAUUAAUAGGGAUAGUUGGGGGCAUUAGUAUUCAAUUGUCAGAGGUGAAAUUCUUGGAUUUAUUGAAGACUAACUACUGCGAAAGCAUUUGCCAAGGAUGUUUUCAUUAAUCAAGAACGAAAGUUAGGGGAUCGAAGACGAUCAGAUACCGUCGUAGUCUUAACCAUAAACUAUGCCGACUAGGGAUCGGAUGAUGUUUAUUUUUUAGUGACUCAUUCGGCACCUUACG
This 499-nucleotide ribosomal RNA is filed under the name uncultured Glomeromycotina. Its description in RNAcentral is "partial small subunit ribosomal RNA". It matches the Rfam family "Eukaryotic small subunit ribosomal RNA", at positions 591 to 1092 of the family's 1831-position model. Lineage: Eukaryota; Fungi; Glomeromycota. The record is from RNAcentral.